Molecule: ribosomal RNA, 241 nt
Filed under: uncultured bacterium
Lineage: Bacteria
Description: partial 16S ribosomal RNA
Rfam family: Bacterial small subunit ribosomal RNA
Source: RNAcentral
GAUCCUAGCUCAGGAUGAACGCUGGCGGCGUGCUUAACACAUGCAAGUCGAGCGAAGCACUUAGGAAAGAUUCUUCGGAUGAUUUCCUAUUUGACUGAGCGGCGGACGGGUGAAGGUAACGCGUGGGUAACCUGCCUCAUACAGGGGGAUAACAGUUAGAAAUGACUGCUAAUACCGCAUAAGACCACAGCACCGCAUGGUGCAGGGGUAAAAACUCCGGUGGUAUGAGAUGGACCCGCGU